RNAcentral lists this small RNA (583 nucleotides) under Desulfitobacterium metallireducens DSM 15288. The record is from RNAcentral. Lineage: Bacteria; Bacillati; Bacillota; Clostridia; Eubacteriales; Desulfitobacteriaceae.
AUUAUUCCUUUGGGCAAUGGUGCGUUAUUCUAGUGCACGAAAUGGCAAUCGAAGGCGGGCCUAAGAAUCCGCCGAGGGCAUACCGAUGAAGUUCCUGGUGGUGGCUUACGACGCCCAGUCGAGGGUUGCUGCUGGGAGUUAAGGUUCAGGGGGAUCCGCAAUGGCAUGCGGGCGCUACCCUUAACCGUGGAGGCCUAAGUACGUGGUUCCUUUAGGGGUUACGGCUUGGGGUAUGAACCUGCAUUAGGAAGGAACUUAGUGCAGCGUAGCCUGCCUUGAGGUGGAAAAGUUGGGAAGGUGAGAGGGACUUGGACUAUGUUGGCCGAUAUAGUUCAGUCUGCCGGAAAUUCUUUUCUGCAAAAGAGGCUAGAUUGUUAAGGAGUGUCAAGGAAAACUUCUAGAACGAUAAUCAGUGAGGAUUGAAGUGCGGUCUCAGUGGCGAUCAAGUUCUGAGUGCUGGUAACACCUCAGGUUAAGAGAAAAGGGAAACCGCCUCAAGGGAAACCUGGGGAUCUUAGCGGGAAAACCUACUUGACCUAAGCCGUAAUAUUUUUUCACUGAUGUCCUAAAGCCCAAAGGCACA